Molecule: transfer RNA, 72 nt
Filed under: Nicotiana sylvestris (wood tobacco)
Lineage: Eukaryota; Viridiplantae; Streptophyta; Magnoliopsida; Solanales; Solanaceae
Rfam family: tRNA
About the family: Transfer RNA (tRNA) molecules are approximately 80 nucleotides in length. Their secondary structure includes four short double-helical elements and three loops (D, anti-codon, and T loops).
Source: Rfam by way of RNAcentral
UCCGUUAUCGUCCAGCGGUUAGGAUAUCUGGCUUUCACCCAGGAGACCCGGAUUCGAUUCCCGGUAACGGAA